RNAcentral lists this ribosomal RNA (778 nucleotides) under uncultured Neocallimastigales. RNAcentral describes it as "partial large subunit ribosomal RNA". It matches the Rfam family "Eukaryotic large subunit ribosomal RNA", at positions 24 to 634 of the family's 3401-position model. The record is from RNAcentral. Lineage: Eukaryota; Fungi; Neocallimastigomycota; Neocallimastigomycetes; Neocallimastigales.
AUCUCUGUAGAGUCUGCAUAUCAAUAAGCGGAGGAAAAGAAACUAACAAGGAUUCCCUUAGUAACGGCGAGUGAAGCGGGAAGAGCUCAAAUUUGAAAUCUUCAGGGUUUUACCUUGACGAAUUGUAGUUUAAAGAAGUGUUUUCUGUUGAAGUUUCGGUAAAAGUUCUUUGGAAUAGGACAUCAUAGAGGGUGAGAAUCCCGUAUUUGACCGUUAUUUUCAGCUGUGUGAUACACUUUCAAAGAGUCGGAUUGUUUGGGAAUGCAGUCCAAAAUGGGUGGUAAAUUUCAUCUAAAGCUAAAUAUUGGCGAGAGACCGAUAGCGAACAAGUACCGUGAGGGAAAGAUGAAAAGAACUUUGAAAAGAGAGUUAAACAGUACGUGAAAUUGUCAAAAGGGAAGCGUUUGACACCAGUGUUGUUUUCUCGAAAAUCAAUUAAAAAUGGCUUGAUUUUGUGUUGUAUUGACCUUAAAAGCUUUCUUCACUUUUUUCAUGUCUUUUUUAAUGCACUUUUCGUUUAACAAGUCAACAUCAGUUUCUUUUGUUGUAAAAAGGUCAUUGGAAGGUGGCUUUCUUUUCGGAGAAAGUGUUUAUAGCCUUUGACUUCUGCAAUCGGAGAGACUGAGGUCUGCAGCGUAGAUCCUUCUGGGAUUAGAUUCAGUUAGAUGCUAAGUUAUACCGUUUUAUAGACAACUUGUUGACUAUAAUUCGAUCCUGUAGCUUACUCGCUUAUGGUAAUUUUACCUACGCUUAGGAUGUUGAUAUGCAUGACUGAUAU